RNAcentral lists this ribosomal RNA (406 nucleotides) under uncultured bacterium. Its description in RNAcentral is "partial 16S ribosomal RNA". It matches the Rfam family "Bacterial small subunit ribosomal RNA", at positions 30 to 526 of the family's 1533-position model. The record is from RNAcentral.
AUUGAACGCUGGCGGCAGGCCUAACACAUGCAAGUCGAACGAGUGGCGGACGGGUGAGUAAUGUCUGGGAAACUGCCCGAUGGAGGGGGAUAACUACUGGAAACGGUAGCUAAUACCGCAUACCAUCGGAUGUGCCCAGAUGGGAUUAGCUAGUAGGUGGGGUAACGGCUCACCUAGGCGACGAUCCCUAGCUGGUCUGCGAGGAUGACCAGAAACCAUGGAACGGAGAAACGGUCCAGAAUCCUACGGGAGGCAGCAGUGGGGAAUAUUGCACAAUGGGCGAAAGCCUGAUGCAGCCAGGCAGCGUGUGUGAAGAAGGCCUUCGGGUUGUAAAGUACUUUCAGCGAGGAGGCGUUACUCGCAGAAGAAGCACCGGCUAACUCCGUGCCAGCAGCCGCGGUAAUAC